Molecule: ribosomal RNA, 273 nt
Filed under: uncultured bacterium
Lineage: Bacteria
Description: partial 16S ribosomal RNA
Rfam family: Bacterial small subunit ribosomal RNA
Source: RNAcentral
UACGUAGGUGGCGAGCGUUGUCCGGAUUUAUUGGGUUUAAAGGGUGCGUAGGCGGUCAUGUAAGUCAGUGCUGAAAUAUCACAGCUUAACUGUGAGGGUGGCAUUGAUACUGUGUGACUUGAGUAAAGUCGAGGUAGGCGGAAUUGACGGUGUAGCGGUGAAAUGCUUAGAUAUCGUCAAGAACACCGAUAGUGAAGACAGCUUACUAGGCUUAAACUGACGCUGAGGCACGAAAGUGUGGGGAUCAAACAGGAUUAGAAACCCGAGUAGUCC